CCAAUAGCGUAUAUUAAAGUUGUUGCAGUUAAAAAGCUCGUAGUUGAAUUUCGGGAUCAAUAUUUCGGUCACGCCGUUGGUAUGCACUGUUAUCAUUGAUUUCUCACCUUCUAAAGAACCGUAAUGCCAUUAAUUUGGUGUUACGGGGAAUUAGGACUGUUACCUUGAAAAAAUUAGAUUGUUUAAAGCAGGCUCACGCUUGAAUACAUUAGCAUGGAAUAAUGAAAUAGGACAUCCUAUUCUAUUUUGUUGGUUUCUAGGAUCGAUGUAAUGAUUGAUAGGGAUAGUUGGGGGCGUUAGUAUUCAAUUGUCAGAGGUGAAAUUCUUGGAUUUAGUGAAGAAUAACUACUGCGAAAGCAUUUGCCAAGGAUGUUUUCAUUAAUCAAGAACGAAAGUUAGGGGAUCGAAGACGAUCAGAUACCGUCGUAGUCUUAACCAUAAACUAUGCCGACUAGGGAUCGGAUGAUGUUAAUUUUUUAAUGACUCAUUCGGCGCCUUACG
RNAcentral lists this ribosomal RNA (501 nucleotides) under uncultured Glomeromycotina. Its description in RNAcentral is "partial small subunit ribosomal RNA". It matches the Rfam family "Eukaryotic small subunit ribosomal RNA", at positions 591 to 1092 of the family's 1831-position model. The record is from RNAcentral. Lineage: Eukaryota; Fungi; Glomeromycota.